Molecule: ribosomal RNA, 501 nt
Filed under: uncultured Veillonellaceae bacterium
Lineage: Bacteria; Bacillati; Bacillota; Negativicutes; Veillonellales; Veillonellaceae
Description: bacterial SSU rRNA
Rfam family: Bacterial small subunit ribosomal RNA
Source: RNAcentral
GGCGGCGUGCUUAACACAUGCAAGUCGAACGAGACAUUAAAAGACUUUGCUUUUAAACGUUCGAGUGGCAAACGGGUGAGUAACGCGUAGACAACCUGCCGCAAAGAUGGGGACAACAGUUCGAAAGGACUGCUAAUACCGAAUGUUCUGGAAGUUCCGCAUGGAAACUCCAGCAAAGAUGGCCUCUACUUGUAAGCGAUCGCUUUGCGAUGGGUCUGCGUCUGAUUAGCUAGUUGGUGGGGCAAGGGCCUACCAAGGCAACGAUCAGUAGCCGGUCUGAGAGGAUGAACGGCCACAUUGGGACUGAGACACGGCCCAGACUCCUACGGGAGGCAGCAGUGGGGAAUCUUCCGCAAUGGGCGAAAGCCUGACGGAGCAACGCCGCGUGAGUGAAGAAGGUCUUCGGAUCGUAAAGCUCUGUUGCCGGGGGACGAAUGUAGGCAAUGCAAACAGCAUUGUGUAAUGACAGUACCCGGCGAGGAAGCCACGGCUAACUACGUG